RNAcentral lists this ribosomal RNA (253 nucleotides) under uncultured bacterium. RNAcentral describes it as "partial 16S ribosomal RNA". It matches the Rfam family "Bacterial small subunit ribosomal RNA", at positions 524 to 776 of the family's 1533-position model. The record is from RNAcentral.
UACGUAGGGUGCGAGCGUUGUCCGGAAUUAUUGGGCGUAAAGAGCUUGUAGGCGGUUUGUCGCGUCUGCCGUGAAAGCCCAGGGCUUAACCCUGGGUCUGCGGUGGGUUCGGGCAGACUAGAGUGUGGUAGGGGAGACUGGAAUUCCUGGUGUAGCGGUGAAAUGCGCAGAUAUCAGGAGGAACACCGAUGGCGAAGGCAGGUCUCUGGGCCACUACUGACGCUGAGAAGCGAAAGCAUGGGGAGCAAACAGG